This 253-nucleotide ribosomal RNA is filed under the name uncultured bacterium. RNAcentral's name for it is "partial 16S ribosomal RNA". It matches the Rfam family "Bacterial small subunit ribosomal RNA", at positions 524 to 776 of the family's 1533-position model. The record is from RNAcentral.
UACGUAGGUGGCAAGCGUUGUCCGGAAUUAUUGGGCGUAAAGAGCUCGUAGGCGGUCCGUCGCGUCGAAUGUGAAAGCCCGGGGCUUAACCCCGGGUCUGCAUUCGAUACGGGCUAGCUAGAGUGUGGUAGGGGAGAUCGGAAUUCCUGGUGUAGCGGUGAAAUGCGCAGAUAUCAGGAGGAACACCGGUGGCGAAGGCGGAUCUCUGGGCCAUUACUGACGCUGAGGAGCGAAAGCGUGGGGAGCGAACAGG